UACGUAGGGGGCAAGCGUUGUCCGGAAUCACUGGGCGUAAAGCGCGCGCAGGCGGCUAUCUACGUCCGGGGUGAAAGCCCAGAGCUCAACUCUGGGACUGCCUUGGAUACGGGAUAGCUUGAGGGUCGGAGAGGCAAGGGGAAUUCCACGUGUAGCGGUGAAAUGCGUAGAGAUGUGGAGGAACACCUGUGGCGAAGGCGCCUUGCUGGCCGAUUUCUGACGCUGAGGCGCGAAAGCGUGGGGAGCAAACGGG
RNAcentral lists this ribosomal RNA (253 nucleotides) under uncultured bacterium. RNAcentral's name for it is "partial 16S ribosomal RNA". It matches the Rfam family "Bacterial small subunit ribosomal RNA", at positions 524 to 776 of the family's 1533-position model. The record is from RNAcentral.